RNAcentral lists this ribosomal RNA (242 nucleotides) under uncultured bacterium. RNAcentral describes it as "partial 16S ribosomal RNA". It matches the Rfam family "Bacterial small subunit ribosomal RNA", at positions 93 to 334 of the family's 1533-position model. The record is from RNAcentral.
GACCGGCGGACGGGUGCGUAAUGCACAUGCAAUCUACUUUACACUGGGGAAUAGCCUCCGGAAACGGGAAUUAAUACCCCCAUAUAAUCUUACUGGCGCAUGUUAGAAAGAUGAAAGCUCCGGCGGUGUAAAAUGAGCGUGUGUCCUAUUAGCUAGUUGGAGAGGUAAUGGCUCACCAAGGCUACGAUGGGUAGGGGUUCUUAGUGGAAGGUCCCCCACACUGGCACUGAGAUACGGGCCAG